RNAcentral lists this long non-coding RNA (2473 nucleotides) under Zea mays. RNAcentral's name for it is "long non-coding RNA (ZMAY_LNC002426)". Lineage: Eukaryota; Viridiplantae; Streptophyta; Magnoliopsida; Poales; Poaceae. The record is from RNAcentral.
GUACUACGGCCAACCAAGAACCACCGUCGGCAAUGAAAGAAGAUAGUGGGGGUGGGGGGGGGGGGAGGGGGGGGGGGGGAGCUUCUGCCGCCACUGCUGAUACGCGUAGACGCCCAUGCCGGGUAUAUUGUGCUUGGGCGGGGAGCUUUGCCGCGUUUCCGUGGGGCUGUCGGUUACCUUCGCGGAAGGGGAGAACCACUGGGUGGCCGGUGAUUUCUGACCUGAAUCAUAGUGUCACCACGGGACCGCCUUACGUCGUGGGCGGCAUCACCAGCUCUGUCGCAUCAAGUAAGAACACCCUUAUCUGCUUUGGGUUGAUUCUCGUGUCGUGUAGGACUAGUCGAAUCCGUGAACGAGGCAUUGCGGUGCCGGGUUGGCCAACGCCAGCCAUGGCCUCCACCGUGCAGCGAGCGGCACCGCCGUGGUCAGCGUCGGGGGAGGACGUUGAUGUUUCUGUCUGGUAAUCCUGGCCUUUGAACAGGUCGAGCAGAGUAGAAUCUUGGAGGGAUCUCGGCCUCGGAUCAAGAUCUGUCGGUCACUCAUACCGGUUCGCGAUCUAUUAUACCCCGUAGAUCAGUGAUACAUCGGUCAUAAUCACACCCACCUGGCCGCCGUGGUAGAUUUUCUAAAGAGCCCCUGAAAUUCUUAUAAAUCAAACCGCGGUCCAGGCCAUAGAAAGAAUCAUUACAGUCAGGCCCAGGAUUUUGCACGAUUGACCCUGGAGAAUUCCUAAAUAAUGCAUGAAGUCUAACUAAAUCUCAAAUUUAAUAAAUUAAUACCAAAAAUGGUUUUCUUAUAUAAAAAUAAUCCCAGAAUAUUGUUUAAAUCAUAAGUAAUUCAUUUUAAUUCCUUUUGAUCCAUUCCAGUUACAUUAUAUUCACAUUAAUAUUGUUUAUCAUCUAGUAACUCUGUUUGUCAUGAAACAUAGAUUAAAAUUAUGCACUUAAUUUAUUCUAUAUUAAACACUUAAAACUUCAGAAAAUCAUAACUCUUUAACCGUAACUCUGAAUUUAGUGAUUCUCGAACCUGCGAUCUCAUUGCGAUGCGUAGAAUAUUAUCAUGAAUUAUGUUCUAAUGUUUGGUGUGAUAUUAAUUUCUCCUGUACCAUGUUUGUUUGUAUUGUUGCAAGUCGACAGGCAAGCAAUUGAGGACCUAGGUGCUCAGCCGGUGAAAAGUGCUGAGCAGGAGCUCGUUGAAGGCAAAUUGUGCCCUUGAUCACUUUUAUUUACCCAAUACUGUUCCUGUUAAUCAUUAUGACCUACAUAGGUUAAUUUUGAUGGGACCCAAUAGGUCACCCCAGUUUGGCUAUUCAACCACAAAUUUGUUUUAGGGUAGCUGAAGCCCAGCUUUAAAGAAGCUUCGGUAGACCACGACUUCAUUUUCUUCGGGUACAGGAACAGUCUUCUCCCCGUUGUCAGCUCUCACAAUAGACAUAUCCCGAAAAUAUCUUCCUCUCAUAUUAUCAAGAUGACUCUGCUUAAUAGUUGAUUUUCCAAAGACUGAAUGGCUUCGGCGCCAGGGCCGAUCUUCGGAGUCUUCGCCCCCACUUUCUGCGUCAUAGCUGUCACUGUCAUUAGUAUCUUCAGAUAGGCCUUCUAGAAUUUCUCUUGUAAUUUUCUCCGUAUUUGUUUUAGCAAUUGACUCAACGAAUCCAGCGGUUUUUUCCUUAAGAAGCUUCUCCUCCUCGCUCAGCUUCGUUUCAGCAACAACUUUCUUAUCUUGAGACAUCUCUUCGAAAAUGGUGAAAAUAUGCUCUUAAAGCCGAAGCUUAGAAAAUCUAAAAAGCUAAGCAAGCGUUGGUAGGCAAGAGCUAAAAAUUGAGCAAGCAGAGCAGAUGGCAAAAAGCGUGCCAAAUGAGUUCGUGGUGUGCCCUUAUUUAUACGCCUAGCGCGUUGCAAGUUGGAGGGCCCCACUUGUCAUUAAUUGUUGCUAUUCUAGCAAAGGGAAGGUGUUUUUUCGGACCUUCGGCUUAAGGCCUUCGUCCAUAUCGCAAUCUGAAUUUAUCAUUCUAACAAAUUAAUAUUGCGAGGGGCUACUGUUGGGGGCCUUCGGCUUCCGAAGGUCCUCAAAAACAUGAUUUAACAAUGUUUCUGGAGUAUAAUACAUGAACAUGUAUCUUCAGACUCGGAUCAGAACCACAAUAUAAAGAAGCACAAAGAACACGAAGGUUGGCGCAGAGCCGAAGCUAUGUGCAGGAGAGCUUCGGCACGAUAGCAGAAAAGGAAACCGACUUAAAAAGGAAAAGUCUAUUCAGACCUCGAUGGGUUACUAUAGAGUCAUUAGCAAAUGUAAAGGGCAUGGGUGUAAUUUUACAUGGGCUGUGUCCCGUGCCUAUAAAUAGAUGAACAGUGCUCCCGUACUAUACACGCUGACUUGGCAUUUGCAUUUGCGUCACACUUGUACUUUUACCUUCUUUCAAGCCGAAGGUACACUUGUAAUGUGAUAUCAUUUAUGCUUUUCCAUAAUAAUAAAA